AGAUUGAACGCUGGCGGCAUGCCUAACACAUGCAAGUCGAACGGGAGUAGCAAUACUCUAGUGGCGGACGGGUGAGGAAUACGUAGGAAUUUGCCCUUAAGUGGGGGAUAACCCGGGGAAACCCGGAUUAAUACCGCAUGACCUCGAAAGAGCAAAGUGGGGGAUCGCAAGACCUCACGCUUUUGGAGAAGCCUACGUCGGAUUAGCUAGUUGGUGAGGUAAUGGCUCACCAAGGCGACGAUCCGUAACUGGUCUGAGAGGAUGAUCAGUCAACACCGGAACUGAGACACCGGUCCGGACUCCGUACGGGAGGCAGACGAGUGGGGAAUAGUUAGGACAAGUGGGCGCAACGCCUGAUCCGAGCGAAUCGCGCGGUGUGGAGUAAGGACGGUCCGUUAGGGUUA
Molecule: ribosomal RNA, 404 nt
Filed under: uncultured soil bacterium
Lineage: Bacteria
Description: bacterial SSU rRNA
Rfam family: Bacterial small subunit ribosomal RNA
Source: RNAcentral